GGACAGCAGGCACCUCUAGUAAUGCUGUUUUGGAUGAUUCAUGCUGUUCUUCGGGCAAAUCUGCAGAUCAAGUGUGGUGUGACACAUCCUUCGGUAAUCAUGACAAUGAAGAACACUUUCAAGAUGCUGAUAUAUAACAUAGCCGGAAGAAUAUCUUUCUGAAUUAAGAAACAGCUGCUUCUGUGGUUUUACAGGGUGAAACACUGCCCGAGUGUAGCUCGAGCACUCGGCUGUGCGGGAGGCAGGAGGUUUGUGGCUCAGCACGGCCUCUCGAGCAGCCGGGCUGCUCUGCAGGAGGUUUUUGUCUGUCUCGCGGUGUACAUCUCACCUGACGCCGCUCCGAGUCUGGCUACAGGUAAAGCARCCUGCACCGAGAACUCAUUCCUUCCCUUUCACCUACUAAAUCCGUUUCUUUAUUAUUUUUUUAUUUGGUUGYCUUUCCCUGUAGAAAGUGGG
Molecule: long non-coding RNA, 456 nt
Filed under: Dromaius novaehollandiae (emu)
Lineage: Eukaryota; Metazoa; Chordata; Aves; Casuariiformes; Dromaiidae
Description: lncRNA (ENSDNVG00000003384.1)
Source: RNAcentral